GCUAUACAGCUAGCUUACCCAAUGGGUAAAACUCACAACAUUUCUCUACCCAAAACAAAACCCCAAACAUUAAAACAAACCAUUUUACCGCCUAAGUACGGGUGACGGAAAAGGCAACUACACAAAUAAGCAAUAGAAAUAGUACCGCAAGGGAAAGCUGAAAGAGAAAUGAAACAACUCAUCAAAGCGACAAAAAGCAGAGAUUAAAACUCGUACCUUUUGCAUCAUGAUCUAGCCAGCAUACCCAAGCAAAGAGAACUGUAGUUUGACUCCCCGAAACUAAGUGAGCUACUCCGAGACAGCCUAAGAACUGGGCCAACCCGUCUCUGUGGCAAAAGAGUGGGAAGAUCUCCGAGUAGAGGUGACAGACCUACCGAACUUAGUGAUAGCUGGUUGCCCGAGAAAUGGAUAGAAGUUCAGCCUUAUCCCCCUCCAGUCACCGAUGUGCCACUACCUACUAGACACCCAAGAGAGACCGAUAAGAGUUAUUCAGAAGGGGUACAGCUCUUCUGAACCAGGACACAACCUUACACAGGAGGUUAAGGACCAUAGUCAACAAGGACAUCCGUUUCAGUGGGCCUAAAAGCAGCCACCUGAACAGAAAGCGUUAAAGCUCAGACGGAAAAUAUAAUCCUAUUAUCCCGCUAUACCACCCCCCACCCCCUAAUUUUACCGGGCCAUUUUAUGCCAAACAUAGAAGAGACUAUGCUAGAAUGAGUAACAAGAAGAACAGCCCUUCUCCCAGCACGUGUGUAAACCAGAUCGGACACCCCUCUGGAAAUUAACGAACUCAAUCAAAGAGAGCAGUGCGAAGUUAAAAAGAGACCAGGAAGGCCCCGCAUUCAAAUAAAUCGUUACCCCCACACAGGUGUGCUAAACUAGGGAAAGACAAAAAGGGAAGAAAGGAACUCGGCAAACAUAAGCCUCGCCUGUUUACCAAAAACAUCGCCUUCUGCCAAAAUCGACGUAUAGAAGGUCCUGCCUGCCCAGUGACUAUAGGUUCAACGGCCGCGGUAUUUUGACCGUGCAAAGGUAGCGCAAUCACUUGUCUCUUAAAUAGAGACCUGUAUGAAUGGCACGACGAGGGCUUAACUGUCUCUCCUCCCCAGUCAGUGAAAUUGAUCUGUCCGUGCAGAAGCGGACAUUAUACUGCAAGACGAGAAGACCCUAUGGAGCUUUAGACACAAGACCAACCAUGUUAAACCACUUAAAACAAAACAAGUGGAAACAGAGUGGUAAACCUUGGUCCGCCUGUCUUCGGUUGGGGCGACCGCGGGGCAAAGACAAACCCCCAUGUGGAAUGAACAAACCAUUUAGAGCUAAGAGACACAUCUCUAAGCCACAGAACAUCUGACCAAAAAUGAUCCGGACACCAGACCGAUCAACGAACCAAGUUACCCUAGGGAUAACAGCGCAAUCCUCUUCCAGAGUCCAUAUCGACAAGAGGGUUUACGACCUCGAUGUUGGAUCAGGACAUCCUAAUGGUGCAGCCGCUAUUAAGGGUUCGUUUGUUCAACGAUUAAAGUCCUACGUGAUCUGAGUUCAGACCGGAGUAAUCCAGGUCAGUUUCUAUCUGCAAUAGUUCUUUUUCCUAGUACGAAAGGACCGGAAAAAGGGGGCCUCCACCUCUGAUGCGCCCCACUUUUACCUGCUGACAUCAACUAAAGCAGGCAAAAAAGCUCACAACUCCCAGCCAAAGACAAAGGCUU
Molecule: ribosomal RNA, 1709 nt
Filed under: Chanos chanos (milkfish)
Lineage: Eukaryota; Metazoa; Chordata; Actinopteri; Gonorynchiformes; Chanidae
Description: 16S rRNA
Rfam family: Bacterial large subunit ribosomal RNA
Source: RNAcentral